RNAcentral lists this ribosomal RNA (938 nucleotides) under Lactococcus lactis subsp. lactis. RNAcentral describes it as "bacterial SSU rRNA". It matches the Rfam family "Bacterial small subunit ribosomal RNA", at positions 56 to 981 of the family's 1533-position model. The record is from RNAcentral. Lineage: Bacteria; Bacillati; Bacillota; Bacilli; Lactobacillales; Streptococcaceae.
UGCAGUUGAGCGCUGAAGUUGGUACUUGUACCGACGGAUGAGCAGCGAACGGGUGAGUAACGCGUGGGGAAUMUGCCUUUGAGCGGGGGACAACAUUUGGAAACGAAUGCUAAUACCGCAUAAAAACUUUAAACACAAGUUUUAAGUUUGAAAGAUGCAAUUGCAUCACUCAAAGAUGAUCCCGCGUUGUAUUAGCUAGUUGGUGAGGUAAAGGCUCACCAAGGCGAUGAUACAUAGCCGACCUGAGAGGGUGAUCGGCCACAUUGGGACUGAGACACGGCCCAAACUCCUACGGGAGGCAGCAGUAGGGAAUCUUCGGCAAUGGACGAAAGUCUGACCGAGCAACGCCGCGUGAGUGAAGAAGGUUUUCGGAUCGUAAAACUCUGUUGGUAGAGAAGAACGUUGGUGAGAGUGGAAAGCUCAUCAAGUGACGGUAACUACCCAGAAAGGGACGGCUAACUACGUGCCAGCAGCCGCGGUAAUACGUAGGUCCCGAGCGUUGUCCGGAUUUAUUGGGCGUAAAGCGAGCGCAGGUGGUUUAUUAAGUCUGGUGUAAAAGGCAGUGGCUCAACCAUUGUAUGCAUUGGAAACUGGUAGACUUGAGUGCAGGAGAGGAGAGUGGAAUUCCAUGUGUAGCGGUGAAAUGCGUAGAUAUAUGGAGGAACACCGGUGGCGAAAGCGGCUCUCUGGCCUGUAACUGACACUGAGGCUCGAAAGCGUGGGGAGCAAACAGGAUUAGAUACUCUGGUAGUCCACGCCGUAAACGAUGAGUGCUAGAUGUAGGGAGCUAUAAGUUCUCUGUAUCGCAGCUAACGCAAUAAGCACUCCGCCUGGGGAGUACGACCGCAAUGUUGAAACUCAAAGGAAUUGACGGGGGCCCGCACAAGCGGUGGAGCAUGUGGUUUAAUUCGAAGCAACGCGAGAACCUUACCAGUCUU